ACACGUGGGCAAUCUGCCCUUCACUCUGGGACAAGCCCUGUGAAACGGGGUCUAAUACCGGAUAACACUCUGUCCCGCAUGGGACGGGGUUGAAAGCUCCGGCGGUGAAGGAUGAGCCCGCGGCCUAUCAGCUUGUUGGUGGGGUGAUGGCCUACCAAGGCGACGACGGGUAGCCGGCCUGAGAGGGCGACCGGCCACACUGGGACUGAGACACGGCCCAGACUCCUACGGGAGGCAGCAGUGGGGAAUAUUGCACAAUGGGCGAAAGCCUGAUGCAGCGACGCCGCGUGAGGGAUGACGGCCUUCGGGUUGUAAACCUCUUUCAGCAGGGAAGAAGCGAGAGUGACGGUACCUGCAGAAGAAGCGCCGGCUAACUACGUGCCAGCAGCCGCGGUAAUACGUAGGGCGCAAGCGUUGUCCGGAAUUAUUGGGCGUAAAGAGCUCGUAGGCGGCUUGUUGCGUCGGUUGUGAAAGCCCAGGGCUUAACCCCGGGUCUGCAGUCGAUACGGGCAGGCUAGAGUGUGGUAGGGGAGAUCGGAAUUCCUGGUGUAGCGGUGAAAUGCGCAGAUAUCAGGAGGAACACCGGG
This 587-nucleotide ribosomal RNA is filed under the name Streptomyces atratus. RNAcentral describes it as "bacterial SSU rRNA". It matches the Rfam family "Bacterial small subunit ribosomal RNA", at positions 113 to 713 of the family's 1533-position model. Lineage: Bacteria; Bacillati; Actinomycetota; Actinomycetes; Kitasatosporales; Streptomycetaceae. The record is from RNAcentral.